Megalobrama amblycephala (Wuchang bream) is the source of this 779-nucleotide long non-coding RNA. RefSeq lists it as uncharacterized. The transcript has 2 exons. The record is from RefSeq and is a predicted model, not a curated record. Lineage: Eukaryota; Metazoa; Chordata; Actinopteri; Cypriniformes; Xenocyprididae.
AAUCAUCAAUCACUUAUUUAUCUCAUUAAUGCUUCAGUUGGUGGAAUAAAAAUAUGCCAGGACUUUUACUCUUUGACCCCUGGAUUACCCACCUCUGGUUAUUAUAUUAUAUUAUAUUAUAUAGAAAAAUCCAACCCAGAUCUCUCAGAUCAAAGCAGAAAGUCAUUUUCUUCAAGCAUUUUAUUAAAAUGACCUUAUUUACUCAUAUUAAUGAUGUGCAUUACAUUAAAAACAUGGUGUUUAAGGAUGUAAAAAAAGCAUCUGGCUGAUAUUGAGAUCUGUUAAUGCCACAUUUACUUGAUGAUCUAAAAACUGUCUAAAACAUGUCUUUGCUCACAGGAAAAUGUGGGCCACCACCACAUCUGAACUCUGCAGAUACAACGGAAAUGGCAAAAAAGGAAUACAAUUCAGGCGAGAGAGUUGAAUACACCUGCUUUAAUAAAUACAUACUGGUUCAGCGUUACCCCUACUCCAAAUACUUGACCUGUGAACACGGAGAAUGGAGAGGGAAUAUUAAGUGCUUAAAGCCCUGUUCAGUGUCUCUGGAGUUAAUGGAUGAACGAGGUAUACAGCUGCGAUGGGGUGAACAGCGAAAGAUAUUCUCACCACAUGGAGAUAGAAUCCAAUUUAGGUGUCAGAGUGGCAAAUCAUCAAUAGGCAGUGACCUAACACAAACAUGUAAUGAUGGAGUGAUGAAUUUGCCUCUGUGUGAGUGAAAAGGAGAAUAAAACAUCACUGAUGCAUACAGCUGUACAAAAUAAAACUUUUGUAACACUCUC